GCAAGUCUGGUGCCAGCAGCCGCGGUAAUUCCAGCUCCAAUAGCGUAUAUUAAACUUGUUGCAGUUAAAAAGCUCGUAGUUGUAUUUUUGCGUUAGCGGUUUGACCAUUUGGUUGGUUAUUUCGUUUUCGCUUUUGGGAAUUUCCCUUUUUACUUUGAGAAAAUUAGAGUGUUUCAAGCAGACUUUUGUCUUGAAUACUUCAGCAUGGAAUAAUAGAGUAGGACUUUGGUUCUAUUUUGUUGGUUAUUGAACCUUAGUAAUGG
This 263-nucleotide ribosomal RNA is filed under the name Babesia canis canis. RNAcentral's name for it is "partial 18S ribosomal RNA". It matches the Rfam family "Eukaryotic small subunit ribosomal RNA", at positions 555 to 868 of the family's 1831-position model. Lineage: Eukaryota; Apicomplexa; Aconoidasida; Piroplasmida; Babesiidae. The record is from RNAcentral.